UGGAAAAACACAAAUAGAAUGUUCAAGAUUAAGCUAUUUACCUCUAUCGAGUAUUGUACUGAGGUAUUGUAACAAAAUUAACGAAAAAAUCGCCAACCUGGGACCCGUUGGUCUAGAAAUAUCGAUAAAUCGUUUUUUUUUUUUCAUAUUUCGAAAGUAUACUAUUUCAAAAAUACACAUUUAAAAUUUGGUGACGAUAUUUUGAGUAUAUCAUGCUGUAAAACCUAUUUAAACCAAUAAUAAAAGGAGGUAGUCGAGCCGGUCGGCCCAGAGAGUAAUUCUAUUGUUCGGUAAAACGCAUCUUCUUCGGUUACUUUACCUGAGUUGUAGUAAGUAGUAAAGGGAAAUAUGUAGUUUCGAUAGCUGAAAAAACCGAAGACAUUGCAGAGUCUAAAAGGACUGAGGGUAUACUUUAUGGUGCUAAAAUAGCUUAUUAAUC
RNAcentral lists this unclassified non-coding RNA (439 nucleotides) under Melitaea cinxia (Glanville fritillary). RNAcentral describes it as "misc RNA ENSMCXG00005019258.1". The record is from RNAcentral. Lineage: Eukaryota; Metazoa; Arthropoda; Insecta; Lepidoptera; Nymphalidae.